RNAcentral lists this ribosomal RNA (392 nucleotides) under uncultured bacterium. Its description in RNAcentral is "partial 16S ribosomal RNA". It matches the Rfam family "Bacterial small subunit ribosomal RNA", at positions 523 to 918 of the family's 1533-position model. The record is from RNAcentral.
AUACGGAGGAUCCGAGCGUUAUCCGGAUUUAUUGGGUUUAAAGGGUGCGCAGGCGGCCAUUUAAGUCAGCGGUUAAAUCGUGGGGCUCAACCCCAUUCUGCCGUUGAUACUGGGUGGCUUGAUUGCGGUCGAGGUUGGCGGAAUUCGUUGUGUAGCGGUGAAAUGCAUAGAUAUGACGAAGAACGCCGAUUGCGUAGGCAGCUGACCAGACCGCAAAUGACGCUCAUGCACGAAAGUGCGGGGAUCGAACAGGAUUAGAUACCCUGGUAGUCCGCACAGUAAACGAUGAAUACUUGUUUUCGGCGAUAUAAUGUCGGAGGCAAAGCGAAAGCGAUAAGUAUUCCACCUGGGGAGUACGCCGGCAACGGUGAAACUCAAAUGAAUUGGCGGGG